GCCAGGCGUGGUGGCGGGCGCCUGUAGUCCCAGCUACUCGGGAGGCUGAGGCAGGAGAAUCACUUGAACCUGGGAGGUGGAGGUUGCAGUGAGCUGAGAUCAAACCACUGCCCUCCAACCUGGGUGACAGAGUGAGACUCAGUCUCAA
Non-coding RNA from Pongo abelii (Sumatran orangutan), 148 nucleotides. Lineage: Eukaryota; Metazoa; Chordata; Mammalia; Primates; Hominidae. The record is from Rfam.